RNAcentral lists this long non-coding RNA (1313 nucleotides) under Pogona vitticeps (central bearded dragon). Its description in RNAcentral is "lncRNA (ENSPVIG00000018395.1)". The record is from RNAcentral. Lineage: Eukaryota; Metazoa; Chordata; Lepidosauria; Squamata; Agamidae.
UGAAUUCACUAGCCGAGAUUUAUUCUUUUUCGCUCCGGUUUGGCUGCCUCCCGUAUUUGCUCCGCAGCACCUUUAAAAGGGGAUCUGGGCGUAGAGCUCCCAGCGCAUGGGGGGGGGAGAGAAGGGGGUCCCAUGCCCACGGAAACCAGAGCGAUUUCCUCUCGAGUAAAUACACCGGCGUAGGGUCCGUCUGGGCUAGCUGCCAAGCCAGGAAGCCAGAACGCCCCCGGGGCGAGAAACCAACGCGCUGGAAGGGAGUCAGACCCAAGGGGCGAAACCUGAUCCGGAGCAAAACAGAAACACACCCCAGCACGCGCAUUUACACGCACAAUGGGAGUGGACGGGAGAGGAGAGAAAGAAAACAACUUUCCACCGGUUUAAAAAAAGCGGCAGCAGCAACACUCCCAAGAACAGACGAGCCGCGCAGCAGCCCCGCCACCGUAACACAAAUCAGCUUCUCCCCCCCCAACCCUAUCAAGGGAGCAGCUGGAAGGGAAGGGGGGGAAGGCGCUCUGCUGGCAUUCCGCCUUGCCUCCCCCCCCCCGGGCUCGAGGGCUCCGAUCCAGCGCACGUUCACUCCUCCUGCCAUCCCAGCUCCGGCUUACUCCCAGGAAAGCCUGCCACCGGAUCGAGGCCGCGUUCUGCCGGAAAGGGAGCAGGUGCUGCCUUUCUUUCCUCCCACCCCGCAAGAAACCGACCCAGCCCAACCCGGGGCAGGCUUUCUACAGGCAGGGAGGAACAAACCCACCCGUUCACACGCGCAGCUCUGCCCGCAGCCGCCUCCAGAGGGAAAGACGCUGCCUCCCCCCUCCCUCCUCAUCGGCUUUGGCCAAGCCGGAUCCAGUGGAUCCCGGGGACCGAGGAACGGGGGGGGAGAUUGGGAGGGGGAGCCUUCGGCGAAAGAGAUGCAACAAGAAAAACGCCAUUCGGGCCCGUUUUGCAAAGGGAAACCUUUCCCCCUCCCCCCCCCCCCCCCAGGAAUCGCACCGCAAGACCAUCGCUUUCCAACCAGCGCUCCAUUGCUGCCUUUACGGGGGAAAAGAAACCAAGGAAGGAGGGAGGGAAGGAGGGAUCGAAAAUGCAAGCGACGGGGGCGGCCGAGGGUCAAAGAUCCGUGUCUGGGUGUUGCGUGUGAGCGCGCCCCGCGCGCCCCCGGCGCACAGGUCGCUGCACACAAAAGUCGAAAUGCUAUUGUUUGACCUGGGGGGGGCUUCUCAGGACUGGGGUGGGCGUGCGCAAAGCAAAGCCGCUGAUCUUAACCCCCCUCCAGUUUUGGGGGGGCGUUGCAACUAGAGCAAAGGAGGAUUCAGCUG